AGUGGCGAACGGGUGAGUAAUGCAUCGGAACGUAUCCUGUAAUGGGGGAUAACUAAUCGAAAGAUUAGCUAAUACCGCAUACGCUCGGGAGAGGAAAGUGGGGGAUCGCAAGACCUCACGUUAUAGGAGCGGCCGAUGUCUGAUUAGCUAGUUGGUGAGGUAAAGGCUCACCAAGGCGACGAUCAGUAGCUGGUCUUAGAGGAUGAUCAGCCACACUGGGACUGAGACACGGCCCAGACUCCUACGGGAGGCAGCAGUGGGGAAUUUUGGACAAUGGGGGCAACCCUGAUCCAGCCAUGCCGCGUGCGGGAAGAAGGCCUUCGGGUUGUAAACCGCUUUAGUCUAGGAAAAAGGGAUGCAGGGUUAAUACCCCUGUGUUUUGAUGGUACUGGAAGAAUAAGCACCGGCUAACUACGUGCCAGCAGCCGCGGUAAUACGUAGGGUGCGAGCGUUAAUCGGAAUUACUGGGCGUAAAGCGUGCGCAGGCGGUCCGUUAAGACAGUCGUGAAAGCCCCGGGCUUAACCUGGGAACUGCGAUUGUGACUGGCGGGCUAGAGUGUGUCAGAGGGGGGUGGAAUUCCACGUGUAGCAGUGAAAUGCGUAGAGAUGUGGAGGAACACCGAUGGCGAAGGCAGCCCCCUGGGAUAACACUGACGCUCAUGCACGAAAGCGUGGGGAGCAAACAGGAUUAGAUACCCUG
RNAcentral lists this ribosomal RNA (700 nucleotides) under uncultured bacterium. Its description in RNAcentral is "bacterial SSU rRNA". It matches the Rfam family "Bacterial small subunit ribosomal RNA", at positions 94 to 789 of the family's 1533-position model. The record is from RNAcentral.